AUCUGGAGUGACAGAGGCUGCAAGAACUGACCCCAUGACUUUGACCAGAUAACCACAAUGGCUUGAAAUUAGACUUUGUGCACCAAUCAGGGGAGUAAACUUCAGUGCAGCAAACCCAGCAGGAGGGAGAAAUGCAUGGUUGGAAAUCUUGACCUACGCAAAUCUCUGGGCUGCCUUUCAUCCCCUCGUGCUGCACCCUGAGGUUAAGCCACUUUCACUGGAAUACCAGUGCCAAACAAAAAGAACAGGAGCACUGCAGGGGAAUAACUGGCAGUAGUUUGAGUCUUCCUUUACCUUGCACGUGCUGAGCUUAAGAAGUGGUGACUUUCCAUCAUGGACCUCCUGGCUCUUUCAGAUGGGUUCAGAAACUCAUGUAAAGCUGAAAGAAGAAUGCAUGUCUGGAAGAUAUAAAACAAGUUGUGGAAAAAUGGGAGUGAGGUGGAAGAUACCCAGCUCUCUAUAUUUAGAAGUCAGAGUAUGUGUGCUCCCCCAGCAGCUGUGAGAAAUAAUAU
Molecule: long non-coding RNA, 512 nt
Organism: Parus major (Great Tit)
Lineage: Eukaryota; Metazoa; Chordata; Aves; Passeriformes; Paridae
Exons: 3
Source: RefSeq, a predicted model, not a curated record